This 446-nucleotide ribosomal RNA is filed under the name uncultured bacterium. Its description in RNAcentral is "bacterial SSU rRNA". It matches the Rfam family "Bacterial small subunit ribosomal RNA", at positions 330 to 793 of the family's 1533-position model. The record is from RNAcentral.
UCCAGACUCCUACGGGAGGCAGCAGUGGGGAAUAUUGCACAAUGGGGGAAACCCUGAUGCAGCGACGCCGCGUGAGUGAAGAAGUAUUUCGGUAUGUAAAGCUCUAUCAGCAGGGAAGAAAAUGACGGUACCUGACUAAGAAGCCCCGGCUAACUACGUGCCAGCAGCCGCGGUAAUACGUAGGGGGCAAGCGUUAUCCGGAUUUACUGGGUGUAAAGGGAGCGUAGACGGUUGUGCAAGUCUGAAGUGAAAGCCCGCGGCUCAACCCCGGGACUGCAUUUGGAACUGUAAGGCUAGAGUGUCGGAGAGGCAGGCGGAAUUCCUAGUGUAGCGGUGAAAUGCGUAGAUAUUAGGAGGAACACCAGUGGCGAAGGCGGCCUGCUGGACGAUGACUGACGUUGAGGCUCGAAAGCGUGGGGAGCAAACAGGAUUAGAUACCCGGGUAC